RNAcentral lists this transfer RNA (76 nucleotides) under Thiomicrorhabdus chilensis. RNAcentral's name for it is "tRNA-Thr". It matches the Rfam family "tRNA". Rfam says of the family: Transfer RNA (tRNA) molecules are approximately 80 nucleotides in length. RNAcentral also lists the same sequence under 6 other names. Lineage: Bacteria; Pseudomonadati; Pseudomonadota; Gammaproteobacteria; Thiotrichales; Piscirickettsiaceae. The record is from RNAcentral.
GCCGACAUAGCACAAUUGGUAGUGCAACUGAUUUGUAAUCAGUAGGUUUCAAGUUCAAGUCUUGAUGUCGGCACCA